UUCCGGUUGAUCCUGCCGGACCCUACUGCUAUCGGGGUGAGACUAAGCAAUGCAAGUCGUGCGCCCCAAGCCAUGGUGAGGCGCGGCAAACGGCUCAGUAACACGUGGCUAACCUACCCUUAGGACGGGGACAACCCCGGGAAACUGGGGCUAAUCCCAGAUAGGUGAAGAAGUCUGGAAUGACUCUUCGCUCAAAGGGCGUUGGGGACAUGCUUCCCAGCGUUGCCUAAGGAUGGGGCCGCGGCCGAUCAGGUUGUUGGUGAGGUAACGGCCCACCAAGCCUUUAACCGGUACGGGCCAUGAGAGUGGGAGCCCGGAGAUGGGCACUGAGACAAGGGCCCAGGCCCUACGGGGUGCAGCAUGCGCGAAACCUCCGCAAUGCGCGAAAGCGUGACGGGGUUACCCCGAGUGCCGUCCGCUGAGGAUGGCUUUUCUCCUGUGUAAGGAGCCGGAGGAAUAAGGGGAGGGCAAGACUGGUGUCAGCCGCCGCGGUAAUACCAGCUCCCCGAGUGGUAGGGACGAUUAUUGAGCUUAAAGCGUCCGUAGCCGGCCUGACAAGUCUUCCGUUAAAUCCAGCGACUCAAUCGCUGGGCCGCGAAAGAUACUGUCAGGCUAGGGGACGGAAGAGGCCGACGGUAUUCCCGGAGUAGGGGUGAAAUCCUAUAAUCCCGGGAGGACCACCAGUGGCGAAGGCGGUCGGCUAGAACGCGCUCGACGGUGAGGGACGAAAGCUGGGGGAGCGAACCGGAUUAGAUACCCCGGGUAGUCCCAGCUGUAAACGAUGCGGGCUAGGUGUCGGGGCGGCAACGAGCCGCUUCGGUGCCGCAGGGAAGCCGUUAAGCCCGCCGCUUGGGAAGUACGGCCGCAAGGCUGAAACUUUAAAGGAUUGGCGGGGGGAGCACCAACAGGCGUGAAGCUUGCGGUCCAAUUGGAGUCAACGCCGGA
Molecule: ribosomal RNA, 945 nt
Filed under: uncultured archaeon
Lineage: Archaea
Description: bacterial SSU rRNA
Rfam family: Archaeal small subunit ribosomal RNA
Source: RNAcentral